RNAcentral lists this long non-coding RNA (357 nucleotides) under Linum usitatissimum (flax). RNAcentral describes it as "long non-coding RNA (LUSI_LNC001272)". The record is from RNAcentral. Lineage: Eukaryota; Viridiplantae; Streptophyta; Magnoliopsida; Malpighiales; Linaceae.
GUAGACUACAGCGGUUUUGGAGGAUAGUGAGAAUGUGAGGAAGAAAGGGAAGCAGAUUGAUGAAGAGACUACCAUCUCGGCGAAUCGGUGGCAUGAAUGCUUGAUGAAACUUUUCAAUGGGAGGCCGCUGGACUUUGCGAGUAGCAUUAAUCUGAUUGUGAGCCGCUUUACGAUGGAUUGAUCGACUAAGACGUUGGAUAAAAGGAGAGCUGAAACUGGACAGACAAGGAAAGUAGCGAUGAGCAUGAACGAACCGGCGUUGAACCGGAGGAUCCGUACCGUUUCUCUCAGGAUCUCUAGUGCGUUCAUCGGAUGGUUGAACUGGUGCGAUGAUGGUGACGAUGAUGAUGAUGAUGA